AACACAAUAUUUUCCAGGAUCAUUUCGAUAGGUCAUUUCUAGAAGAGUUUCUCUGAUUAUGUAGAGCACCAUAAUCCACAGGAGGAGGUGCAACAUUUUCUCCUGAGCUCUUGGUGUUGCUUUCCUGAAGUUGCCCUUUGCCACUGGAUGGUCGUUUUUCUCUCCCAAGGGAAAAGUUAGAAUAUGCAGUCUGAGAGGU
Molecule: small nucleolar RNA, 199 nt
Filed under: Tupaia belangeri chinensis (Chinese tree shrew)
Lineage: Eukaryota; Metazoa; Chordata; Mammalia; Scandentia; Tupaiidae
Description: Tupaia chinensis (Chinese tree shrew) Small nucleolar RNA U3
Rfam family: Small nucleolar RNA U3
About the family: Small nucleolar RNAs (snoRNAs) are involved in the processing and modification of rRNA in the nucleolus. There are two main classes of snoRNAs: the box C/D class, and the box H/ACA class.
Source: Rfam by way of RNAcentral